This 712-nucleotide ribosomal RNA is filed under the name uncultured bacterium. Its description in RNAcentral is "bacterial SSU rRNA". It matches the Rfam family "Bacterial small subunit ribosomal RNA", at positions 57 to 765 of the family's 1533-position model. The record is from RNAcentral.
GCAAGUCGAACGGAACUUCUUUAAAGGAUUUCUUCGGAAUGAAUUUGAUUAAGUUUAGUGGCGGACGGGUGAGUAACGCGUGAGCAACCUGCCUCUAAGAGGGGAAUAACAUUCUGAAAAGAAUGCUAAUACCGCAUAACAUAUAUUUAUCGCAUGGUAGAUAUAUCAAAGAUUUAUCGCUUAGAGAUGGACUCGCGUCCGAUUAGUUAGUUGGUGAGGUAACGGCUCACCAAGACCGCGAUCGGUAGCCGGACUGAGAGGUUGAACGGCCACAUUGGGACUGAGACGCGGCCCAGACUCCUACGGGAGGCAGCAGUGGGGGAUAUUGCGCAAUGGGGGAAACCCUGACGCAGCAACGCCGCGUGAAGGAUGAAGGUCUUCGGAUUGUAAACUUCUUUUAUUAAGGACGAAGAAAGUGACGGUACUUAAUGAAUAAGCUCCGGCUAACUACGUGCCAGCAGCCGCGGUAAUACGUAGGGAGCAAGCGUUGUCCGGAUUUACUGGGUGUAAAGGGUGCGUAGGCGGCUUUGCAAGUCAGAUGUGAAAUCUAUGGGCUCAACCCAUAGCCUGCAUUUGAAACUGCAGAGCUUGAGUGAAGUAGAGGCAGGCGGAAUUCCCCGUGUAGCGGUGAAAUGCGUAGAGAUGGGGAGGAACACCAGUGGCGAAGGCGGCCUGCUGGGCUUUAACUGACGCUGAGGCACGAAAGCGUGGG